UGUGCCUAAUAACAUGSWUKKCGAGCGGAACUARUUUACUAGUUUAGCGGCAAAUGGGUGAGUAACACGUACCUAAUCUACCUUAAAGAUCGGAACAACAAUGGGAAACCGUUGCUAAUACCGGAUAUACCUUUGAAAAGCAUUUUUUAAAGGUGAAAGGAGCAACUGCUUCACUUUGAGAUGAGGGUGCGUUACAUUAGUUAGUUGGCAGGGUAAUGGCCUACCAAGACGAUGAUGUAUAGCCGAGUUGAGAGACUGAUCGGCCACACUGGGACUGAGAUACGGCCCAGACUCCUACGGGAGGCAGCAGUAGGGAAUAUUCCACAAUGGGCGCAAGCCUGAUGGAGCGACACAGCGUGCAGGAUGAAGGUCUUCGGAUCGUAAACUGCUGUUAUACAGAAAGAAAAGAUAUAGGAGUGGAAAGCCUAUAUUAUGACGGUACUGUAUCAGAAAGUGACGGCAAACUAUGUGCCAGCAGCCGCGGUAAUACAUAGGUCACAAGCGUUAUCCGAAAUUAUUGGGCGUAAAGCGUCCGUAGGUUGUUUGUUAAGUCUGGAGUUAAAGACCGGUGCUCAACGCCGGCACGCUUUAGAUACUGGCAAACUAGAGUUAUAAAGAGGUAAGUGGAAUUUCAUGUGAAGCGGUGGAAUGCGUAGAUAUAUGAAAGAACACCAAUGGCGAAGGCAGCUUACUGGUUAUAUACUGACACUGAGGGACGAAAGCGUGGGGAGCAAACAGGAUUAGAUACCCUGGUAGUCCACGCCGUAAACGAUGAUCAUUAGUUGGUGGGGGAACCCUCGCUAACGCAGCUAACGCAUUAAAUGAUCCGCCUGAGUAGUAUGCUCGCAAGAGUGAAACUUAAAGGAAUUGACGGGGACCCGCACAAGCGGUGGAGCAUGUGGUUUAAUUUGACGAUACGCGUAGAACCUUACCCACUCUUGACAUCCCUUGCAAAGCUAUAGAGAUAUAGUG
This 972-nucleotide ribosomal RNA is filed under the name uncultured Mycoplasma sp. RNAcentral's name for it is "bacterial SSU rRNA". It matches the Rfam family "Bacterial small subunit ribosomal RNA", at positions 43 to 1013 of the family's 1533-position model. Lineage: Bacteria; Bacillati; Mycoplasmatota; Mollicutes; Mycoplasmatales; Mycoplasmataceae. The record is from RNAcentral.